This 344-nucleotide ribosomal RNA is filed under the name uncultured Streptomyces sp. RNAcentral's name for it is "bacterial SSU rRNA". It matches the Rfam family "Bacterial small subunit ribosomal RNA", at positions 337 to 694 of the family's 1533-position model. Lineage: Bacteria; Bacillati; Actinomycetota; Actinomycetes; Kitasatosporales; Streptomycetaceae. The record is from RNAcentral.
UCCUACGGGAGGCAGCAGUGGGGAAUAUUGCACAAUGGGCAAGCCUGAUGCAGCGACGCCGCGUGAGGGAUGACGGCCUUCGGGUUGUAAACCUCUUUCAGCAGGGAAGAAGCGCAAGUGACGGUACCUGCAGAAGAAGCGCCGGCUAACUACGUGCCAGCAGCCGCGGUAAUACGUAGGCGCAAGCGUUGUCCGGAAUUAUUGGGCGUAAAAGAGCUCGCAGGCGGCUUGUCGCGUCGGUUGUGAAAGCCCGGGGCUUAACUCCGGGUCUGCAGUCGGAUACGGGCAGGCUAGAGUUCGGUAGGGGAGAUCGGAAUUCCUGGUGUAGCGGUGGAAUGCGCAGA